UCGCUCCUACCGAUUCGAGUGGUUCGGCGAAUUCUCCGGAUAGGACUCUGUCCUAGAAGUUGUGUAAGCCAUAUCACUUAGAGGAAGGAU
This 90-nucleotide ribosomal RNA is filed under the name uncultured eukaryote. Its description in RNAcentral is "partial small subunit ribosomal RNA". The record is from RNAcentral.